RNAcentral lists this ribosomal RNA (507 nucleotides) under uncultured bacterium. RNAcentral describes it as "bacterial SSU rRNA". It matches the Rfam family "Bacterial small subunit ribosomal RNA", at positions 16 to 518 of the family's 1533-position model. The record is from RNAcentral.
AUCCUGGCUCAGGAUGAACGCUAGCGGCAGGCUUAACACAUGCAAGUCGAGGGGCAUCGGGAGUAGCAAUACUUGCCGGCGACCGGCGCAAGGGUGCGUAACGCGUGAGCAACAUGCCCGUAUCAGGGGGAUAAUCCAUGGAAACGUGGUCUAAUACCCCAUAGUAAUUAUGUAAGGCAUCUUAUAUAAUUUAAAGCUUUGGUGGAUACGGAUUGGCUCGCGUGACAUUAGCUGGAUGGUAAGGUAGCGGCUUACCAUGGCUACGAUGUCUAGGGGUUCUGAGAGGAAGGUCCCCCACACUGGAACUGAGACACGGUCCAGACUCCUACGGGAGGCAGCAGUGAGGAAUAUUGGACAAUGGAUGGAAAUCUGAUCCAGCCAUGCCGCGUGCAGGAAGACGGCCCUAUGGGUUGUAAACUGCUUUUGUAUGGGAGCAAUAAGGGCUACGUGUAGUCCGAUGAGAGUACCAUACGAAUAAGCACCGGCUAACUCCGUGCCAGCCGCCGC